GGACUCUAUGGUAUGGGUGGAAGCCUUGAUCCCAUUUGAAAAAGGAGAGCUUCUUAGUACCAUACAUAAGGUUGGAAUGGUGGAGAGAACAAAAACUAAGGAAGAGAGGGAGAGGCAAAUUGGGUCAAACUAGAUAUAUCAUGGAAUAAGCACAGAGGAGUUUAGUUAGCUAAAAGGGUGAACGCUGGAAACAUUUAUAUGGUACUGCUGGAAACAUUUAUAGGUAUGAGGAACUUGCUUCUAACCCUAACAUGGAGUACAUUGCUGGAGGUGCUACUCAAAACUCCAUUUGAGUUGCCCAGUGUACACGAACAAAACAUGAACUUUUGGAACUCAUGUAGUUUUAUAACUUGCAACAAGUUAUUUUAGUUUUCCACCAAAUUUGCUCUAACUUAUAUCUCCCUUCACUACCAAAUUGAAAUUGUUAAAUGGUGUCAAGUGGUGUUCUAAGACAUAAAGCUAGGAUAUACUACUAAAUGUUAAUUUGCUUGAGCAGGCUUGGUCACAGUCUUUCAAUUGUAUCUCUUCUCAAUAUGUUCCAGCAAUAUAUGAGCUAUGAAGGAAGUUCUA
Molecule: long non-coding RNA, 570 nt
Organism: Rosa rugosa (rugosa rose)
Lineage: Eukaryota; Viridiplantae; Streptophyta; Magnoliopsida; Rosales; Rosaceae
Exons: 5
Source: RefSeq, a predicted model, not a curated record